UAGGACGUCCAACUAUAUGGUCGGAACAGGUCCGCGGUGUCAGGGAAGCCGGUGUGAGUCCGGCACGGUCCCGCCACUGUGACCGGGGAGUUCGUCCUCGCAGGAGUUCGGCCACUGGCAGCCAGCCGGGAAGGCCCGGGGGCGCGCGUCGAUCCGGGAGUCAGGAUACCGGCCGCGGACGGUCCGUGUUU
This 191-nucleotide non-coding RNA is filed under the name Streptomyces sp. The record is from RNAcentral. Lineage: Bacteria; Bacillati; Actinomycetota; Actinomycetes; Kitasatosporales; Streptomycetaceae.